This 1018-nucleotide ribosomal RNA is filed under the name marine metagenome. RNAcentral's name for it is "bacterial SSU rRNA". It matches the Rfam family "Bacterial small subunit ribosomal RNA", at positions 8 to 1068 of the family's 1533-position model. The record is from RNAcentral.
AGAGUUUGAUCAUGGCUCAGAAUGAACGCUGGCGGCACGCUUAACACAUGCAAGUCGAACGAGAUCUUCGGAUCUAGUGGCAGACGGGUGAGUAACGCGUGGGAACCUGCCCAGUAGUAGAGAAUAACUUGGGGAAACUUAAGCUAAUACUUUAUACGUCCUUCGGGAGAAAGCUUUAUGCGCUAUUGGAUGGGCCCGCGUUAGAUUAGUUUGUUGGUGAGGUAACGGCUCACCAAGGCGACGAUCCAUAGUUGGUCUGAGAGGAUGAUCAGCCACACUGGGACUGAGACACGGCCCAGACUCCUACGGGAGGCAGCAGUGGGGAAUAUUGGACAAUGGGGGCAACCCUGAUCCAGCGAUGCCGCGUGAGUGAUGAAGGCCCUAGGGUUGUAAAACUCUUUCGUCAGGGAAGAUAAUGACGGUACCUGAAGAAGAAGAUCCGGCUAACUCCGUGCCAGCAGCCGCGGUAAUACGGAGGGGUCUAGCGUUAUUCGGAAUUACUGGGCGUAAAGCGAGCGUAGGCGGAUUUGUAAGUUGGAGGUGAAAUCCCAGAGCUUAACUCUGGAACUGCCUUCAAAACUACAUUUCUUGAGUUUGGUAGAGGAGAGUGGAAUUCCUAGUGUAGAGGUGAAAUUCGUAGAUAUUAGGAGGAACACCAGUGGCGAAGGCGACUCUCUGGGCCAAUACUGACGCUGAGGUUCGAAAGCAUGGGUAGCGAACAGGAUUAGAUACCCUGGUAGUCCAUGCAGUAAACGAUGAGUGCUAGAUGUUGGGAAUUUAAAUUUCCAGUAUCGCAGUUAACGCGUUAAGCACUCCGCCUGGGAAGUACGGCCGCAAGGCUAAAACUCAAAUGAAUUGACGGGGACCCGCACAAGCGGUGGAUCAUGUGGUUUAAUUCGAAGAUACGCGAAGAACCUUACCGGCCCUUGACAUACCAAUCGCGGACUUAAGAGAUUAAGUCUUUCACUUCGGGUGGAUUGGAUACAGGUGCUGCAUGGCUGUCGUCAGCUCGUGUCGU